AUGGGAUUCAAAUGCCCCGACAGGAAGAAUGUAGCUGAUUUCCUUCAAGAGGUGACUUCUAAGAUGGAUCAAAAGCAAUACUGGAUUGGUGAUGAAAAUAAGUAUCAAUACUGGCCAAUAAAGAAGUUUUCAGAAUCCUUUCGUUCAUCCUAUCACCCUCAACUUGUCGAAGAUAGCCUCUACAUGCCGAACAAUAUGGGAAAACACAAGGAGAUUAAAAAAAGUGCAACCCGUAGUAUCUCCAGAUGGAAUAUUUUCAAAGCAUGCUUUUUAAGGGAAGUAUUAUUUCUCAAAAGAAACUCCCCACUUCACAUAUUCAAGACUAUACAAAUAGUUAUUCUGGCUUUUGUGAUUUCAACGGUUUUCCUUCGAACAAAUAUGAAACAUAAAAAUGUACUUGACGCCAACAAGUACAUGGGGUCCCUCUUUAUAGCUAUUGUGAUAGUAAAUAUAAAUGGUAUGACUGAGAUUGCAAUGACAAUAAAGCGACUCCCGACUUUCUACAAGCAAAGGGAGUUACUAGCAUUACCGGGAUGGGCACUUCUUUGUUCAAUUUUCCUCAUCAGCAUCCCAAUGUCACUAGUAGAGACAUGUCUUUGGACCAGCCUAACCUACUAUGUGAUUGGCUAUGCACCUUCCUUCCUCAGAUUUAUCCAGCAGUUUCUGGUACUUUUUGCGACACAUCAAAUGUCAAUGGGCCUCUAUCGUUUCUUAGCAGCAAUAGGAAGAACACAAGUAAUGGCAAACAUGCUAAGCACCACAGCUCUUAUAGCAAUGUACAUAUUUGGAGGCUUUGUCAUAUCUAAAGAUAAUCUUCAGCCAUGGUUGCAGUGGGAUUGGAUAUCCCCAUUCACCUAUGCACAAAAUGCUGUUGCCCUAAAUGAGUUCCUUGAUGAAAGAUGGGCUACUGAGUUUUACUAUGCAAAUGCUAAUACAGUUGGUGAAGCUAUCCUUAAGAUAAGGGGGUUGCUCACAAAGUGGCAUUGGUAUUGGAUUUGUGUCAUCAUUUUAUUUGGAUUCUCGAUGGUCUUCAACAUCCUCACUAUAUUUGCGUUGGAGUUCAUGAAAUCUCCACACAAGCAUCAAGUUAAUGCCAGUGCAACGAAGUUAAAGAUGGAUUGCAAGAACCACAAAAUUGGAACUAGCAAUACAUCAACUAGUAAACUUGUGCUCCUGUUUCAGCCUCUUUCCAUUUUCUUUGAUCAUAUCAACUAUUUUGUCGAUAUGCCUAAGGAGAUGAUUAAGAAUGGAGUAUUAGAGAAAAAACUUCAACUGCUACAAGAUGUAAGUGGUGUUUUUAGGCCAGGAGUAUUAACAGCUCUGAUGGGGAUCACCGGUGCUGGAAAGACAACAUUGCUCGAUGUUUUGGCUGGAAGAAAAACUGGAGGAUAUAUUGAAGGUACUAUUAGGAUAGAAGGAUACCCAAAGAAGCAGGAGACAUUCUCAAGGAUCUCAGGUUAUUGCGAACAAAACGAUAUUCACUCCCCUAACAUGACUGUCCAUGAGUCACUACAGUUCUCUGCAUGGCUUCGACUGCCAGCAAACGUCAAAUCUCAUGAAAGAGAUAUAUUUAUAGAUGAAGUAAUGGACCUAGUUGAAUUAACUGGAUUGAAGAAUGCCAUGGUGGGUAUGGCAGGAGUAACGGGCCUAUCAGCCGAGCAGCGAAAAAGGCUAACAAUAGCCGUGGAGUUGGUAGCUAGUCCCUCCAUCAUAUUUAUGGAUGAGCCGACCACUGGUUUGGAUGCCCGUGCUGCAGCAAUUGUCAUGAGAACAAUAAGAAAGACAGUAGACACUGGACGAACUGUUGUAUGCACAAUACAUCAGCCAAGCAUUGGGAUAUUUGAAUCAUUUGAUGAGCUUUUGCUUAUGAAAAGAGGCGGUCAAAUCAUAUAUAGUGGUUCAUUAGGUCCGUUGUCCAGCAACAUGAUCAACUAUUUCGAGGGUAUACCUAGUGUUCCUAGAAUAAAAGAGGGACAAAAUCCAGCAUCAUGGGUAUUGGACAUAAGUUCACCCACAACAGAAUAUGAUAUUGGAGUGGACUAUGCAGAAAUUUAUCGGAGCUCCUACCUAUACAGGGACAACAUGAAUCUAAUUACUGAGCUUGGGCACCCAAAACCAAACAUGGAGGAUCUAUAUUUUCCCCGAGGAUACUGGCAGAAUUUUAUGACACAAUAUGUGGCUUGCCUAUGGAAACAAAGAUGUGCAUACUGGAAAAACGUAGAACACAAUGGUGUUCGUUUUCUAAACACGUUUGUUGUAUCAAUUUUGUUUGGAGUUGUAUUCUGGAAAAUUGGCUCAACCAUAACACAACAACAAGAUGUAUUCAACAUACUAGGAGUUGUAUAUGGAUCAUCACUUUUCUUGGGCUUCAAUAAUUGCACCAGUUUGCAACCGGUUGUGGUAAUGGAGAGAGUUGUUCUUUACCGAGAAAAGGCGGCGGGCAUGUACUCUACCUUGGCCUACACCAUAGCUCAGAUGGCAAUUGAAUUGCCUUAUAUCCUUGUCCAAGUACUCGUAUUUGCCUCGAUUGUAUACCCAAUGAUAGGUUUCCAGAUGACCACUGUAAAGUUCUUUUGGUUUGUCCUUUACAUGAUGCUAAGCUUCAUGUAUUACACACUAUAUGGGAUGAUGACAGUGGCACUAACACCUAACCUUGAGAUGGCUGCCGGAUUGUCCUUCCUUAUCUACGUAUUUUGGAAUGUAUUCUCCGGCUUCAUCAUUGGAAGAGAGCUGAUCCCAAUAUGGUGGAGGUGGGUGUACUGGGCUAAUCCAGCGGCAUGGACAGUAUACGGGCUCAUGUUCUCACAAUUGGGUGAUCGGAUGGAGCUGAUCCGUGUGCCGGGGCAGCCAGACCAAACGGUGCGGGAGUUCCUCGAGGGCUAUCUUGGCCUUGAGGCUCGCUACUUCCACCUUAUCACCUACCUGCACUUGGUCGUCAUCGCCCUCUUUGCCUUCCUCUUCUUCAUCUUCGUCAAGCACCUAAAGUUCGAGCAAAGGUAG
This 3000-nucleotide ribosomal RNA is filed under the name Triticum aestivum (bread wheat). Its description in RNAcentral is "partial small subunit ribosomal RNA". The record is from RNAcentral. Lineage: Eukaryota; Viridiplantae; Streptophyta; Magnoliopsida; Poales; Poaceae.